GACGAACGCUGGCGGCGUGCCUAACACAUGCAAGUCGGACGGAUCAGGGAUGACAGCUUGCUGGAGUUCCUGGUGAGUGGCGGACGGGUGAGUAACGCGUGAGGACCUACCCUGGAGAGGGGGAUAACGGCUGGAAACGGCUGCUAAUACCCCGUAAGCCGGAAGGUGAAAGGGAGCGAUCUGCUCCAGGGGGGGCGUUGCGUCCUAUCAGCUAGUUGGUGGGGUAACGGCCUACCAAGGCGAAGACGGGUAGCCGGCCUGAGAGGGCGAACGGCCACACUGGAACUGAGACACGGUCCAGACUCCUACGGGAGGCAGCAGUGGGGAAUAUUGGGCAAUGGGGGAAACCCUGACCCAGCGACGCCGCGUGAGGGAUGAAGUUCUUCGGAAUGUAAACCUCUGUUGUGGGGGAAGAAGUAAGUGACGGUACCUCACGAGGAAAGCCCCGGCAAACUACGUGCCAGCAGCCGCGUAAACGUAGCGUG
This 485-nucleotide ribosomal RNA is filed under the name uncultured bacterium. Its description in RNAcentral is "bacterial SSU rRNA". It matches the Rfam family "Bacterial small subunit ribosomal RNA", at positions 28 to 534 of the family's 1533-position model. The record is from RNAcentral.